AACGAACGCUGGCGGCAUGCCUAACACAUGCAAGUCGAACGAGACCUUCGGGUCUAGUGGCGCACGGGUGCGUAACGCGUGGGAACCUGCCUUUAGGUUCGGAAUAACUCGGAGAAAUUUGAGCUAAUACCGGAUGAUGUCUUCGGACCAAAGAUUUAUCGCCUUUAGAUGGGCCCGCGUUGGAUUAGCUAGUUGGUGGGGUAAAGGCCUACCAAGGCGACGAUCCAUAGCUGGUCUGAGAGGAUGAUCAGCCACACUGGGACUGAGACACGGCCCAGACUCCUACGGGAGGCAGCAGUGGGGAAUAUUGGACAAUGGGCGAAAGCCUGAUCCAGCAAUGCCGCGUGAGUGAUGAAGGCCUUAGGGUUGUAAAGCUCUUUUACCCGAGAUGAUGAUGACAGUAUCGGGAGAAUAAGCUCCGGCUAACUCCGUG
RNAcentral lists this ribosomal RNA (433 nucleotides) under uncultured bacterium. RNAcentral's name for it is "partial 16S ribosomal RNA". It matches the Rfam family "Bacterial small subunit ribosomal RNA", at positions 29 to 507 of the family's 1533-position model. The record is from RNAcentral.